RNAcentral lists this ribosomal RNA (253 nucleotides) under uncultured bacterium. Its description in RNAcentral is "partial 16S ribosomal RNA". It matches the Rfam family "Bacterial small subunit ribosomal RNA", at positions 524 to 776 of the family's 1533-position model. The record is from RNAcentral.
UACAGAGGUGGCAAGCGUUGUUCGGAAUUACUGGGCGCAAAGGGCGCGUAGGCGGCCUUCUAAGUCAGACGUGAAAUCCCCCGGCUUAACCUGGGAACUGCGUCUGAUACUGGGAGGCUAGAGUGCGGGAGAGGGAUGCGGAAUUCCAGGUGUAGCGGUGAAAUGCGUAGAUAUCUGGAGGAACACCGGUGGCGAAGGCGGCAUCCUGGACCGACACUGACGCUGAGGCGCGAAAGCGUGGGGAGCAAACAGG